RNAcentral lists this ribosomal RNA (371 nucleotides) under uncultured organism. RNAcentral describes it as "partial 16S ribosomal RNA". It matches the Rfam family "Bacterial small subunit ribosomal RNA", at positions 527 to 896 of the family's 1533-position model. The record is from RNAcentral.
AGAGGGUGCGAGCGUUAAUCGGAAUUACUGGGCGUAAAGGGUGCGUAGGUGGCCUUAUAAGUCAGAUGUGAAAGCCCUGGGCUUAACCUGGGAACUGCAUUUGAAACUAUGAGGCUAGAGUUUGGUAGAGGGAAGUGGAAUUUCCGGUGUAGCGGUGAAAUGCGUAGAUAUCGGAAGGAACACCAGUGGCGAAGGCGACUUCCUGGGCCACAACUGACACUGAGGCACGAAAGCGUGGGGAGCGAACAGGAUUAGAUACCCUGGUAGUCCACGCUGUAAACGAUGAGUACUAGAUGUUAGGGAGCUUAGACUCUUUAGUAUUGUAGCUAACGCGCUAAGUACUCCGCCUGGGGACUACGGCCGCAAGGUUA